Aedes aegypti (yellow fever mosquito) is the source of this 816-nucleotide long non-coding RNA. RefSeq lists it as uncharacterized. Lineage: Eukaryota; Metazoa; Arthropoda; Insecta; Diptera; Culicidae. The transcript is spliced from 2 exons. The record is from RefSeq and is a predicted model, not a curated record.
UCUUAGAGGGGCGUUGAAACGGAGUUUACAUAGUGAAUCGGCACAAUCAAUGCGAUCAGCAUGCACUGGAGAAAGAUUCGUCUGCUGGAUAAGGUGGCCAAAUUUAUCAGUAAAUAAUAAAUGCAAAUGAUAUUUUAUUAUUGAUUAAAAAAUAUCCUUAAAAAAAUAGCACACAUAAGUGAUUGUUCAAGUACUAGAAAUAUAGACAUUUGUUUGAUUGAUUUUAGUUUGUUUGUGUCGAUGUGUUCAAUAACACGACCAAGGUAUCUAAAAGGAAGGUAAUAUGAUGUGUCAAAUUGCUGAACCCGCCAUAUUGGAAGACCAUACGACAUCUGGCCACUUUGUUUUCGUAAAAUAAUCCAGCAUGCCAUGAAAUCUAGUCAGCUUUUUUCUCUUCUCAGUUUGUUUUGUUUAGUGCACACUUCUUGAAUACUUGCAAAAGGAAGUACAAUAUUGUACACAAAUCAGGAAUUAAUUAGAAGCUUUUUUGGAUAAUAUGGUUCUUUUAUAGGUAGCAGAGUAAAAUCAAGAGUAUACUACACGAUUCAUUGACAACAAGCGCAUCCUCAAUUGGUUUCGUCAAACUAAUGCCAACUCGUAGAAGAAGUUUCAACGGACAGCGAUGACCGAAUUAGAAUGUUGGGGAGUUUCUCCGAGAAGUGAUUGUGAAAAUGCAAAUUAAUUUGUUUCAAUACCGUUAGUCUUGAAGCGUUUUAUCAUGUUUUAGAAUUUUUAUCCAGGCAAAUAAAAAAAAUGAGCUACAACAAUACUUUGAAUGAAUUGAAUUGUGGCUCUUGCUGCUUGGCGGAAUGCGUA